RNAcentral lists this ribosomal RNA (497 nucleotides) under uncultured bacterium. RNAcentral describes it as "partial 16S ribosomal RNA". It matches the Rfam family "Bacterial small subunit ribosomal RNA", at positions 28 to 507 of the family's 1533-position model. The record is from RNAcentral.
GAUGAACGCUGGCGGCGUGCCUAAUACAUGCAAGUCGAGCGAACAGACGAGGAGCUUGCUCCUCUGACGUUAGCGGCGGAAGGGUGAGUAACACGUGGAUAACCUACCUAUAAGACUGGGAUAACUUCGGGAAAACGGAGCUAAUACCGGAUAAUAUAUUGAACCGCAUGGUUCAAUAGUGAAAGACGGUUUUGCUGUCACUUAUAGAUGGAUCCGCGCCGCAUUAUCCAUUUGGUAAGGUAACGGCUUACCAAGGAAACAAUGCGUAGCCGACGUGAGAGAGUGAUCGGCCACACGGGAACUGAGACACGGCCCAGACUCCUAGGGGAGGCGGCAGGAGGAAAUCUUCCGCAAUGGGCGAAAGCCUGACGGAGCAACGCCGCGUGAGGGAUGAAGGUCUUCGGAUCGUAAAACUCUGUUAUUAGGGAAGAACAAAUGUGUAAGUAACUAUGCACGUCUUGACGGUACCUAAUCAGAAAGCCACGGCUAACUACGUG